AAGACUAUAGACCUGCGGAGUACCUGCGGAGGGAUCAUUAGCAAUUUGCAGCCCCUCUAGGGCUGUUGGGUCACGCCUGCCGGCGGUGCCUGGAGCAAUCUAGGCUUUGGACUGACGCUAACACCCGUGUCUACUAUCUUUGUUGCUUUGGCGGGCCGCUUCGGCGCGGCUCCGGCCGUCAGUGCCCGCCAGAGGAUCCUAAACUCUUGUGUUUAGUAUUGUCUGAGUAAAAAAUAAUAG
Molecule: unclassified non-coding RNA, 240 nt
Filed under: soil metagenome
Description: partial contains 5.8S ribosomal RNA, internal transcribed spacer 2, and large subunit ribosomal RNA
Source: RNAcentral